CCUAUCUGGUUGAUCCUGCCAGUAAUCAUAUGCUUGUCUCAAAGACUAAGCCAUGCAUGUCUAAGUCCAAGCUGUGUUCACACGGCGAGACCGCGGACGGCUCAUUAAAUCAGUCGUGGUCCAUAUGGGCCAGUGUUGAUCCUACUUGGAUAACUGUGGUAAUUCCAGAGCUAAUACAUGCAACUCUUAUUCUGAUGUAUGGUCGGUCGGUUCUCUCUCGUAGGGUCCGAUUGUUCUCCGCUGACGAAUGCUUUUAUUAGACCAAACCGCUGGGGAAUGUGGGUCUUUCUUCGGAGAGAUUCACGUUUGACCCGACAUAUGGUGACUCUGAAUAACCUUUUGACGAGCGCACGUAUCCCUCUUAUGAGCGGAACGGCGCUGCCACUUUCGAGUGUCUGCCUUAUCAGCUAUCAAUCGUUCGUUAUGCGCGACCGAUGGCUUUGACGGGUAACGGGGAAUCAGAGUUCGAUUCCGGAGAGGCAGCCUGAGAGACGGCUACCACGUCCAAGGACGGCAGCAGGCACGCAAAUUACCCAAUCCCAGUACCUGGGGGAGGUAGUGACGAAAUCUAACGAUGCGGGCGCCCUUUCUGGGGCCCCGCAAUCGGAAUGGGCACUUUCUAAACAACCUGUUGAGAACCUACUGAAGGGCAAGUCUGGUGCCAGCAGCCGCGGUAAUUCCAGCUUCAGCAGCAUCUAUUAAAGUUGCUGCGGUUAAAAGGCUCGCAGUUGAAUGUCAGUAACGGGCGCAGUGAAGGUGGACGCUGGGGUGUGGGAAUACAAGGCGUGUGUGUGUCUCGGGUUUAGCUGUUCCGCUCCCCUUUGUUGAGGAAAAGUUCGGCGGCUCUUGCGUGCAUGGGUCUCUCACAAACCCCCGUCCGUAACCAGCCUCCUCGCUCGCGUACAUAUCGAAUUCGUAAACAAAUGGAGUUGCGUUGCGGCUUGCGUCCGUUUCGAUUGGCGCUUGUUUGCGCGCGUUAAGGCUCUUUCGGGUUCACAGUCACCUUGAGUAAAUCAGAGUGCUCAAAGCAGUCGUAGGGGUCUCGUAUCCCGUAAACAGUCUUGACGGACUGACUUGGUUUUGCAUGGCAUGUCGGAAGACGACGUCGUGUGUUGGCUCAGGAAUGUAACCAGUGGUAAAAGCCAGCACCGACGUAAUGAUUAACAGGAACGGUCGAGGGCAUUGGUAUUGCGAGGCGAGAGGUGAAAUUCUAUGACCCCCGCAAGACCUCCUGAAGCGAAAGCGUCUGCCAUGGACGUUUUCAUUAAUCAUGAGCGAAAGUUAGAGGAUCGAAGGCGAUCAGAUACCGCCCUAGUUCUAACCCUAAACGAUGCCAACCAUCAAUCCGCGCGUAGCACCCUUCUUAACGGGCUCGGCGGGCAGCUCCUAUUCACGGGAAACCAGAGUCUCUGGGUUCCGGGGGGAGUCUGGUUGCAAAGCUGAAACUUAAAGGAAUUGACGGAAAGGCACCACCAGGCGUGGAGCUGCGGCUUAAUUUGACUCAACACGGGCCACCUCACCAGGCCAGCACUCUUGUAUGAUUGACAGAUUAAGAGCUCUUUCUCGAUUCAGUGGAUGGUGGUGCAUGGCCGUUCUUAGUUGGUGGAGUGAUCUGUCUGGUUAAUUCCGAUAACGAACGAGACUCUCCCCUGCUAACUAGUCGGUUGGAUCUUGCUCGGUGAGUCGUGUGCCGGGAACACUCGGGCGUCCGUGGCGCGUACGGGAAUUUGUGGUGGUCUGGUGUGUCGUUGGUGUUUGUGUAGCUACGGUUGCGCUUCAUCUCGGCGUGCUUUUCCGCUCUUUUUUUCACGCGUGUACACGGGUUUCGUUCGAACCUCGGGCCACACACUCCAAGUCCGCCGCUUAUGCUAUAACUCUUCUUAGAGGGAUUCACGGUACUGAAGCCGUCAGAAACUGAGAGCAAUAACAGGUCUGUGAUGCCCUUAGAUGCUCUGGGCCGCACGCGCGCUACAAUGCCGGGCACAGCAGGUAUCUCUCCCGCUCCGACAGGAGCGGGAAACCCUCUGAAAGCCCUUGGUUUUUCUCUCGUGUCUCUGAGAUACGAUCGGCGUGCUUGGGCCUGGGGCUUGAAAUUCUUUCCCACAAACGAGGAAUGCCUAGUAGCGGCGGGUCACUGAGCCCGCUGUGACUCAGUCCCUGCCCUUUGUACACACCGCCCGUCGCUACUACCGAUUGGGUGUACCAGUGAGAGCCUUGGACUGGCGUCCGUUGCCUUCGGGCAAGCGGUUUUCGACGGAAAGAGGUUCGAACUGGUGCACUUAGAGGAAGUAAAAGUCGUAACAAGGUUUCCGUAGGUGAACCUGCGGAAGGAUCAUUA
Molecule: ribosomal RNA, 2338 nt
Filed under: Gammarellus homari
Lineage: Eukaryota; Metazoa; Arthropoda; Malacostraca; Amphipoda; Gammarellidae
Description: 18S ribosomal RNA
Rfam family: Eukaryotic small subunit ribosomal RNA
Source: RNAcentral